GAACGCUGGCGGCAUGCCUAACACAUGCAAGUCGAACGGUAACGCGGAGAGCUUGCUCUCUGGCGACGAGUGGCGGACGGGUGAGUAAUACUUAGGAAUCUGCCCAGUAGUGGGGGACAACCAGGAGAAAUUCUGGCUAAUACCGCAUACGCACUACGGUGGAAAGUGGGGGAUCUUCGGACCUCACGCUAUUGGAUGAGCCUAAGUCGGAUUAGCUUGUUGGUGAGGUAAUAGCUCACCAAGGCGACGAUCCGUAGCUGGUCUGAGAGGACGAUCAGCCACACUGGGACUGAGACACGGCCCAGACUCCUACGGGAGGCAGCAGUGGGGAAUAUUGGACAAUGGGCGCAAGCCUGAUCCAGCAAUGCCGCGUGUGUGAAGAAGGCCUGCGGGUUGUAAAGCACUUUCAGUAGAGAAGAAAGCCUAGGGUUAAUACCCUCGAGUCUUGACGUAACCUACAGAAGAAGCACCGGCUAACUCCGUG
RNAcentral lists this ribosomal RNA (484 nucleotides) under uncultured bacterium. RNAcentral describes it as "bacterial SSU rRNA". It matches the Rfam family "Bacterial small subunit ribosomal RNA", at positions 31 to 507 of the family's 1533-position model. The record is from RNAcentral.